GCAACAGUAACCUAGUGGACAUAAUAUUCUCAAUUUAGUAAUUUGGAGCAAUUAGUUUCAUUUAUCUUGCCUGUUGAAACUUAGUUGUGCAUGCCAAAUAUCUUGCUUGGUGACAUAGAUUGACUAACAUGUAGAUGUCAUGGAUUUAAAAGUGGUUUUGGGAAUGUAACAACUAUAAGAUGCUAUUGAAGACUCCUCUCCAAAUCACUGCUGUAACUGAUUCUGUUUUGCUUCAAAAUCUGGUUGAACCUCUGGGCCCCGCUCUCCCAGCCCUCCUUUUUAAGAAAUGU
This 290-nucleotide unclassified non-coding RNA is filed under the name Hevea brasiliensis (rubber tree). The record is from RNAcentral. Lineage: Eukaryota; Viridiplantae; Streptophyta; Magnoliopsida; Malpighiales; Euphorbiaceae.